Dermacentor silvarum is the source of this 4715-nucleotide RNA transcript. It is a transcript of the gene named PP2C-like domain-containing protein CG9801, with no coding region annotated. The transcript has 9 exons. Lineage: Eukaryota; Metazoa; Arthropoda; Arachnida; Ixodida; Ixodidae. The record is from RefSeq and is a predicted model, not a curated record.
CGUAGCCAAUGCCCGUCGGCAAGUGGCCGUGGCAGUGAUGAGGAGGAGGACAAGGGAGGAGAGUCCGUCGUCUUUCUCCUCGAGUGCGCGCUGUUGUGUAUGUUUUCUUUUUCCUCGUUUUUCUGCUCGUGUGCGUGCGUGCGUCCGCGGCUAGCGUCGCGGUGGUUUGUGCGACCGCUGCUGCUGCCGUAGCCAGCGCUCGCUGGGCCAGCUACCACCGACCGCUGCUCCGACGUCGUGAGUCGUUGAAGCGAGCGGCGCGCUUCCAGCGUGGUGCGAGCGUAGGAGCUUCGCUCACGAACGAGAUGCGCAGCGCCGUUGGCUGAAGCGCACCCAGCAGCGCUCGUCGUCGCGUCAGCGCCGUGCCUGGGUCAACGUUGAGCCAGCCGAUCGAGCGACGACUCCAGCAGCAGUGUGCACGCCAGAGGAGCGGGCAAACAUGCCGACCCUGCGGGACAAACUGGCCGACUUCCUGCGGCAGUUGUCGACGGGCACGGAGCGGGCGGGCGCCGAUCCCAAAGCCGAGUGCCCGUCGCCCACGUCGGCGACGGCCACAUUCAUGCAGCGUUAUCUGAACGGGGAAGGGCUGCCCAAGCAACCGGAGAUUGUACACUCCAAAUCAUGCUAUGACCUGCCCAACCGGGACGUCGCGCCCCUCUCCAAGCACAUCCUGGCGGCCUACACGGGGCCGUCAGGUGGUCUCACGGGCGUCAACAGGGGGCCCCAUCGUGCCCUGACGGUCACCGACCAGGUGGACUUCAUCGACGAUGAUUCCCUCUGUGGCAGCAACGAGAAUCUCGCCUCCAGGUACCUUGAAAGGAGUGGCGGCACGCCCAAGGCCAAGGCUCCCACCAGCCUCUCGUCAAACAGCGAGGGGCCGCGAGUUGCUGACACAGCUUGUGUAACUGGUGAAGAGGCUGAGACGGCCACUGAGGAGAUCGCUGGCAUCUGCAAUUGGAACCAGCCAGCAGAGUUCGCUUACGGAAUUGCCACAACGCUUUAUGAGUGUCAUCCUGUCACCAAAGAAAAUGCAGGGGAGCCAAUCGCAGACGCAUUUGCCAUCUGCGUUCGGGAGAACAGCGCUGUGAUGGCCCUGGCAGACGGUGUCAACUGGGGUGACAAGUCUUGCCUGGCGGCACGUUGUGCGGUGCACGGCUGCAUGGACUACCUCAAUCGGGCACUGUACCGCGAGGGCGGCACCAUUGAAACAACACAGGAGGUGUUUGUUUGUCUGCUGCGUUCAUUCCAAGCUGCACACAGCUUGAUUCUACAAGAGCAAGGCAUGCUAACAACACUCUGCGCUGCAGUAGCGGUCCAGCUUCAAGGCUCUGACCAGUACGUCGUGUGCGUGUGCAACGUUGGUGACAGCCUCGCCUAUGUCUACAAUCAGCAGCAUGGGGUUCGUGAAAUCACUCUAGGAUCUCAUGAUAUCCACUCAAUGCGGGAUAUGCGGGAUGCCCUUGGUGCUCUGGGCCCCGUUGACGGUCAGAACCCUGAGCUCAACAACCUAACCGUUUCCAUGACGGUAGUCCAGCCUGGUGACAUCGUCUUCCUCACCUCGGACGGUAUCUCGGACAACUUUGACCCCGUCGUCGGCAAGUUUGCCAUUGCCAAGCGAAGUCGCAAAGACGGCACGACCAACACACAGCAGCCACCUCCGCCCCUGCCCGAGGUCGAAGCACACCAGCGGCAUGCGCUGACCCUCCUGCGAAUGCAGGACCUGCUGCAGCAGGGCCUGUACCAGGGGGAUGGUGCGUGCAGCUCAGCCGAGGAACUCUGUGAGCGAAUGGUGGACUUUGCCACCAAGUUGACGGCAGCCAAGAGACGCAUCCUCGAAGACCCCGAGCUUUAUGCAGCUGACUCUGCACCAGGCGAAGAUGCUCGACGACGGCGCCACCGCGCGGGACCCCGGCUUGCCAUGGUGCCCGGCAAGCUGGACCACGCCUCGCUCGUUGCCUACCAGGUUGGCAGGGGCAGCUCCAAUGCCCGCUGCCGUCGCCGGCAAGGCACGGACGUGUACGACGGUCAGGAGGACCGUGCAAACCGAAAUGUCCCUUCCACUCCCGGAGAACCAGAUGACUAUCCUGACAACCUUCCCUAUGAGACGACCAUCUGAGCUGCUGUCUAUGGGUGCGAUACAGGAGCACUGGGUGUGAAACAAACCUCCACUUCUCUAGCAGGGGGACACACCUCCAACCUUGGCUUCUGUUUAGGAUAUUAUAAAACGAACACAACGGUUUAUUUUUGGUUAUGUAGAAGGAAGAAAAUGGUACAGUGAAUGGCAAAUGCUUUCUUGGCAUGAUCCUCGCAUUUCUAUUUGGCAUCAGUGACAUGGCUUGACAGAAACUCGAAAACAUACCGACACAUCAGUGACAUUGAAAGGGUAACGUGACUGAACAGUGUUGCAGCACACUCCUCCUCCAGGUUUUCUUCCCUUCGCCUUAUGCAUAAAGGUACCAUAUUUUCAUGUGUAUAACCAGCACUGAAAAUGGAAGAAAUUGUAAAGUGCAAAGGGUGUUUGCAAGCUAUCCAGAAAUCUAACUGCGAGGUGUAAUUUCACAGCUGCGCUCUGCUUUGCUUUAGGGCUCACAGCUCCUAAAGCUGUGAUGCCAGUUGUGUCAGAGUAAGGUUAUGCACAUGUAAAUGUGCUAUCUUAACUGUAAUGUCUUUGUGAGCUGCAUGUGUGCGCAUGCAAAAUCAGCUUGCAUCUCAUGCUGAACACAACUAUUAGUCUACAGUACAGUCAGUGUCAAACGUUUUUGGAAUGCAGGUUCCACUUGCAUCCUACUUUUAGCUUGCAGCAAUUAAAACAGUGCAACAUUAAGUUGGUUGCAUACACUAAGUACAAAUCUUAAAUCCAGGCUGUGUGCCAAGCUUCAAUAAGUGUGUUUUUUUCUCAGGUCCUAUGCCUGAUAACAUUGGAAUUUUGACCAAAGUGUGGCCUCGAACCAAGGAAUUUGGAUCAAGAGGUCUUGCAAAGCUUGUUUUCUUGUAAGCUACUGCAUCCUUAAAUUUUUGUUUUGUUGGCCCUCUGAUUUGUAUGUUCUAUUCUUGCAUCCUAUCUUUGAAAUACUCUUCUUGCCUCUGUGCAAGGUUCGGUAAACAAAGUGAAACACUGCCCCAGAGUUGACAACUCGUUGCAUUUUUUCGGUCAGGGUUGAUUCGUGUUGCAGCAGUGAGGUUGCUGCCCUUUGCUAUGUAGACACUUGGAAAUAAGCUUGUGCACCAUGGCCAAUAAGAGGCAAAAGCAAACGCCAAAGAUAGUAAUAGAUUACUUAGUCUAAUCACAGUUGAUUACGUAAGUGCAAUCGCGAGGAGGAUGACUGUUUAAUUUUUCUUCCCUUAUGUUUUCAUCUUUUGCCACUGUGUCAACCACCUCCAUGAAAUCCCAGGUUUAGAACCUCGUGGAGAGGUGGUAGCAUUUAGUAUCCGCCAUAUGUUGUUGUUUCAAGCACUAAUAUCUUUCUUCAGUCCUCGCUUUCAGUGCCUUGUAGACGGUUUUACUGAAUUGUGCGAGACAUGUUUUGCAUUUGUGCGUACCGCGUUAAACUUUUUCACAUGGAGCGGUUUCCUACUGCAGUUUUCGCAUCACCAUACAUCUAAAUGGAAGCCUCAAUUAUUGUUCGGUGUAAGCUAGCUUACUUUUAAAAUGACAGAAAGCUGAGUAAGUUGCUGAGGGUUCAUUUUAUUUGAAGCUGCAGGCAUAGAAAACAUGGACACAAUGAGUGAAAAACGCAAACUGUGGUGAUUAACCCUCUGUUUUCUUUGGUGAAGACAAAUGAAAGGAAUUUAUUAAAUUUCAUUGGCAAACCUCUUAGUUUGAGAUCAUUAGUUCAUCAAAACAUAGCAACAGAGCAGGUCAUCGUGUUGUCUUGAAUAGGCUGCAUUAACUUCACUUUUCCACUACAAGUGAUUUCACAGAGAAGUUCAUCACUUUCACAUGCGUAAAAACCACUCUCCAAAAGGGGUUUGCCUGAAACAUGAUGCUCCACGUGCAAAAUCGCGAGCAAGAUCGCACCAUGUGAAUUGCACUUUACUCAUUUAAACUCAUGGCCUCAAAUACGCAGCCUGCACAUUUUGUGAGCGUUUGUGACAUAUUUUUAUUUUUUGUUUGCAUUUUUAUAUAUGUUUUAUCAGCACAGUUUGUAGUGCUUGCAGUUGUUGAAUUCUGUGUGCUGUGCGAGACAUGUUUUUUUGUGUUUUUGUUUGUGCUCAGAAAGACUUGGGAUAUGCAGCAGUUUAUCCCCACCUGCUUUUGCAUUUGUGCUUCUUGGUAAGCUUUCAGUGUUGCCCGGUUUUAUUGUUGACUCGGCAUUUACGUGCACAUUCCACACCACUGACAACAUGUACAACUGUCUCGCCCUUGUGAUGCUCCCGCUAGUUCACCUGUGUCAGUGGGAAGGCAAACUAGGUGAAAGAAUAUAGAGAGGCAACUAUUGCGAAGCUGUCUGGAUAGAUGGCCUGUGCUAUGCUUGUAGUGUCCGUUUGCUAAAGGCAUUUUUUGAGCUGUGAUGUGUGCAAGGCUUCAAGCAAAGGACAGCAGAGGAAGGAUAUGUGCACCAGAAGAUGGUGCGUGUACAGUUUGUUGUAGCUGUUCCCCCAUUGUGUGAUAACCAUGCACCGCUUUGUCCACCUGCAGUGGCGAAGUGGCUCAGAUUCCCAAUUGUAUGUUAACUUCAAGAGCUGAAAUAAAAGCAAGUGCGAUGCCUUUUGGA